CGGAUCAGGGCCGGGUAGGUAAGGCACUUCUCUUGGGAUGAAGGUAUGUUAGGUUCGAACCCUAAUGAUCCGA
Molecule: transfer RNA, 73 nt
Filed under: Hapsidospora chrysogena
Lineage: Eukaryota; Fungi; Ascomycota; Sordariomycetes; Hypocreales; Bionectriaceae
Also listed under: 2 other names
Description: Acremonium chrysogenum tRNA-Pro
Rfam family: tRNA
About the family: Transfer RNA (tRNA) molecules are approximately 80 nucleotides in length. Their secondary structure includes four short double-helical elements and three loops (D, anti-codon, and T loops).
Source: RNAcentral